AGAGUUUGAUCCUGGCUCAGAUUGAACGCUGGCGGCAUGCCUUACACAUGCAAGUCGAACGGCAGCACGGAGCUUGCUCUGGUGGCGAGUGGCGAACGGGUGAGUAAUAUAUCGGAACGUACCCUAGAGUGGGGGAUAACGUAGCGAAAGUUACGCUAAUACCGCAUACGAUCUAAGGAUGAAAGUGGGGGAUCGCAAGACCUCAUGCUCGUGGAGCGGCCGAUAUCUGAUUAGCUAGUUGGUAGGGUAAAAGCCUACCAAGGCAUCGAUCAGUAGCUGGUCUGAGAGGACGACCAGCCACACUGGAACUGAGACACGGUCCAGACUCCUACGGGAGGCAGCAGUGGGGAAUUUUGGACAAUGGGCGAAAGCCUGAUCCAGCAAUGCCGCGUGAGUGAAGAAGGCCUUCGGGUUGUAAAGCUCUUUUGUCAGGGAAGAAACGGUGAGAGCUAAUAUCUCUUGCUAAUGACGGUACCUGAAGAAUAAGCACCGGCUAACUACGUGCCAGCAGCCGCGGUAAUACGUAGGGUGCAAGCGUUAAUCGGAAUUACUGGGCGUAAAGCGUGCGCAGGCGGUUUUGUAAGUCUGAUGUGAAAUCCCCGGGCUCAACCUGGGAAUUGCAUUGGAGACUGCAAGGCUAGAAUCUGGCAGAGGGGGGUAGAAUUCCACGUGUAGCAGUGAAAUGCGUA
RNAcentral lists this ribosomal RNA (689 nucleotides) under uncultured bacterium. Its description in RNAcentral is "bacterial SSU rRNA". It matches the Rfam family "Bacterial small subunit ribosomal RNA", at positions 8 to 692 of the family's 1533-position model. The record is from RNAcentral.